AAAUUGACGGGGGCCCGCACAAGCAGUGGAGUAUGUGGUUUAAUUCGAAGCAACGCGAAGAACCUUUACCAGGGCUUGACAUCCCUUGAAGCAGCUAGAGAUAGCUGUGUCCUUCGGGACAAGGAGACAGGUGGUGCAUGGUUGUCGUCAGCUCGUGUCGUGAGAUGUUGGGUUAAGUCCCGCAACGAGCGCAACCCCUGUGGUUAGUUGCCAGCAAGUAGCGUUGGGCACUCUAGCCAGACUGCCGGUGAUAAAUCGGAGGAAGGUGGGGACGACGUCAAAUCAUCAUGCCCUUUAUGUCCUGGGCUACACACGUACUACAAUGGCCGUUACAACGGGAAGCGAAGGAGCAAUCCGGAGCAAAUCCCUUAAAGGCGGUCCCAGUUCAGAUUGUGGGCUGAAACUCGCCCACAUGAAGGCGGAAUUGCUAGUAAUUGCAGAUCAGCAUGCUGCAGUGAAUACGUUCCCGGGCCUU
Molecule: ribosomal RNA, 475 nt
Filed under: uncultured Oscillospiraceae bacterium
Lineage: Bacteria; Bacillati; Bacillota; Clostridia; Eubacteriales; Oscillospiraceae
Description: bacterial SSU rRNA
Rfam family: Bacterial small subunit ribosomal RNA
Source: RNAcentral